Non-coding RNA from Phrynosoma platyrhinos (Desert horned lizard), 72 nucleotides. Lineage: Eukaryota; Metazoa; Chordata; Lepidosauria; Squamata; Phrynosomatidae. The record is from the annotation of a GenBank genome assembly.
GCCAGUGUGACGUAGUGGUUUGAGUGUUAGACUAUGACUCUGGAGACCAGGGUUUGAUUCCUGACUCAGCUG